CUUCUUUUGAGAAAUGUCUAAUUAGAUCAUUUGCCUACUUUAAAACUGGGUUAUUUGUUUUUGGUUGUUAAUUUGAGUUCCUUGUAUAUUCUUGUAUAUCCAUUUUUGUAGUCAGAGUGAAGAUGACACUCUUUCUGAAUUUUAUCAUCCUAAGCAGAAGCUGAAUUUCCCUGGAUAUAUUUUUAAUAUAGAGCUCAUAGGAUUUGCUAAUCUGUAGAGUGAGAGAGAGAGAAAGAGAAGUCAUGGAUGUCUUCAAGAUUUGGGGCCUAAGAGACUGGAAUAAUACAUUGCCAUCAAGUGUGUUAGAAAAAUCAGCACAUGGAGCACCGGUGGAUGGGGAGAUCAGAAGUUUAAUUUUGAAUAUGUUGAGUUUUAAGGCUGUAAUUGGAAACUCUGUUAUCUCUCAUAACACUUAUGUUUCUGAGUGUGAUACUUAAAAAUCUCUAUUCUUCAAACCUCCACCUUUAGAUAAACAGCAUAUUUUCUAAAAGAAGGGCUCCCUGCACUUCCCACAGGAUUGUGAAUGAAUAAUAAAGGUCUUCUCCAUCUCAAGAGGUAAGAAUACUGAGGACCUUCAGACACGCAUACAGGAAGGUGGCACACGUAUUUCUAGGGACAGGAGUCUCGUUUCUUGAAUAUUUCCUCAAGAAGGUAAGUUUCUAUGUGAAUAAUGAAAUUUUGUUAGAUGAAAGUACUUCUAUUGUCUCCACACGUUGAGAAGGUCAAGGAGAGCAGAGCCCAUGGUGAUUACCUCCAGGAUACUAGACCACCUAAGCAGAACACGGGAAGAAGCUGCAAAACCAAGUCAUGCCUGUGUUAGCAACCACCCACCUCCAACCUACAUAAAUAGUUGAAAAGUACAGAGAAGCAGGGAAAGGAAAGAUCUUUGGAAGGAGUCAUUAGGGGCUGUAGCAAUUCCCCCCCAGCCCAUCCUCAGGGUCAGGAGUGAGGGGGAAGCACCUGAAGCCAAGCAAAAGAACGUUCAGACAACACUUCAGAGAUCUUGACAUUUAUGCCAAGCAUUUGGGAGGGUAAAAGGGCUUGUACUAGAAGCUGUAGUUCCAAUGGCUGAAGGCAGCAGAGCAAAGAAAGAGGCAGGGCUGCACUGGGGGCGGCUGCACUUCCUCCAGUGUUGAGACAGUUCGUUUGUAGAAGUUCUAUCUCAUUGCACACAACCUUCCUAGAAAUACUGACAGUCUCCGUCAGCCAACACAACUUUCUAUGAGGUCUGGCUACAUCCCAGUCACGUCAAGGAGUCUGAUCCAUGUCGUUACAAAUAUCCCAGUGAAGGGGGAAAUAAAGCUUAGUUUAUGAUUUUUGCAAGUAAGAAUGGAAUAAAAGCAAAUCAGAUUCCAGGUUGGAUUAUCAUUUGAACUCAACAUUAUGUUCUUGAUGAUUGAUAAAAGAAAAAAAAUUAGGAGACAUAACAUCUAGCCCAGGCAAAACUAAUUUGGAAGGCUUUCAGGGAAAAGGCUGCUUAGAAUCAUGAGACCAGAAUGGGGAGCAGUUGUGUGUUCAUUUCCACUCAAGUUUUUCCAUUUUCCUUCUCUAGCAUCUUCUUUUGUCAUAAUAAUUGUUUCUCUUUAUAGGCACACACACAGAGAUUAGUAAUUACCUUAGACCUAGACUUUUUAAAAAUGUAUACAUUUAUAGAUUACUAUCAAACAUUUUCCAGUGGCCCGAGGAAAACUACUAUUUUGAAGUAAAGUAAUACCAUGGAGUAUUUUAUGUACCUUCCUUGUCUUUUACUGGCUUGAGGAAGCCAGUCACUGCCCCCACACACUCUUUUUUUUUCUUCCUUAAGCAGAUGAAGGGAAAGUUGCCCUUUUUCUUUUUUUUUUUUUUUUUUUUUAGAAAUCUAUCUCCUUCUGACAUGAGGGCUUAUGGGUUUUGUUUCAUUCUUGUUCAAAGCCUUUAGCUUAAGCUAUGCCAAGGCCGUCUGUAGCAGCUGACUUCUGCUUUCUGCUGGGUCUUCAAUUCCUGUUUCUCAUACCACAAAAGAAUGGUUGCUGAUGCUACUUUAGAAAGGGAAGUCAUUUGCCCUUUCAGAUAAAAUGAAGGAAGCCCUGAGGAGGCUGCAGAAUCUUUUCCCAUGAACUGGACGCUGCUCAUAGAGGCCUGGCUGUGACAGUGACAGAGGCUCUGGAACCACAGGAUAGACCAGUGAACUCAUUUUUCUUGCCAGGUGAGGUCUGGUAUAUGAUUUUGACUUGAAUAUGAUUUUGAUUUGUACAUGUAUAUAUUUCUGGAACAGAAUUGUGCCUUCAAAUAAGUGACUUUUCUAACUUUAGGUUAUACAUGGUGUGACACUAAGUUAAAACUAAGUGCAUUUUCCUUCAAAGAAAUGGUUUCUUACAUACAGCAAUUCAUAACUUAACAACAGUGGGGUUCUUCUUGGGUGUCUUGUUUUGCAUUCUAUCAGUAAAGAAAGCUGAAUUUAACACUAGUUGCAAGAAAAAAAAUGCACAAGCGCAUUUUAAUUUCUCUUUCUCAAACUUCUUUUCUUGGAUGUAAUUUUAAGUGUAUACUUCACCAAAUUAAUAAGUACCCUAUACAUUGCCUAUAUGUAAGACCUCUCCUGGGGAAUUUGGAAGUAAUCAAUGUUUUUAAGCAGCAUCAGUUCUCAUGAAUAAAAAUCUUUUGUACAGGAUGAUAAGCUAUUCAUUACACAUAAUCAUUGUGCAGGGUAGUAGCAGGGGUGGCGUUUUGUUCAGAGUUUGUAUCAAAAUACGUUAGGCUUAAUGUUUUCAGCAAACGACCAUAUUUUGUAACAUAAAAUGUGAAGUUGUUUUGUAAUUGGAAAAGGGGACAAAGAACAUGUUUGUCAUUAGGAAACAUCCUUUUGUGUUCAGCUUUGUCAUAAACUUUUUUAGGUUGGUUAAUCUAUCUGUAUAAAAUCUUUGUAAGUUAUGACAACUGCACCUAUUUCAAAUGGUGGAGUGGUGUAUCUUAUUUGGAUGCGGUUAUGAAUUAGGCACACGCAACGACCAUGUCCAAGCCUGGCACUGGCUCCUACAGCUCCAUCCUUCAUAGCGCUCCUCCUGGGCCCCAAGGUGCUGCUGGUGGUUUGUGUCUCUGUCAUCUAUGUCCAUUGGAAGCAGAAGGCCUGACUAUCUUCAUUGAAAGACUGGAGUUCCUUGAGAACGCCUUGACAGUUUCUUCCUUGGGAAGGCACCUUGCUGCUCCAAGCACAGAUCUGCGAUCUUCCUGACACGAUUGCAUCGUUUCUGAGUCCUGUAUUCCAAACUGUGAUGUUUUGGAGGCAUGAAAUGUUAUGGCUCAUACCUUCCAAGCCAAUUGCUAUUUUCAUGAGAAGAAAUAUUCCUCUUUCAACUGCUGGUAUGUUUUACUUUGAAUUAUAUUUCUUCAGCUAUUAAUAUUUCUUUUUUUGCUUUGUACACAAUACACUUUUAUAUAAAUAUGUAGGUAAACAUAACAUUUUGCACCUUCAAAUUUAUCAUUCAAUAAAGAAGCUUAUUAAAAUCAGCAAAACAUCUUAAAUAUAUUUUAACAAUGUACAAAUGUAUUCACAACAUAAUCUGCUGAUUAAGAGACUCCACCAAGUUUAUACCUACAACACAAUUUACAGAUGCCUACAAUAGUUUGUACAUUUAUUUAGUUUAUAAUAACAUCUAUUGCUUUAAGAAAUAUCAUUCAUACAAAUGCGUGAUAUGUAACAUUCUCAUUAUAGUAAGAAAGAAUAUAGGUUUAUAAAACAAAGUGUCUUUACUCAUUAUGUGAAGUAUGUAAAUGAUUAUUCUCACUUUUUAGUCAUAAAACAUAGAUAUCAUUAGGUCAAAGAGCAUUGAAGAGCUCCAGGAGGUUCCAAAGAAAAAUCUGGUUAGCCUUUUACACAAUAAAUACAACAGCACCAAUCUCUUGGUAUUCCUGAAACAUAAACUAUGAUGAUUUCAUUUAUGUUAAUUGGGCCUUAAGUAAAUGACUUCUUACAAAUGAAAAUAAACAAAAUUUUAGAAACUAGAUAGUACCAAUGGCCUAAACUUGGUUUUUACUUGUUAUUGUAUUUCUAAGAAAUUUUACCAUGAAGUACGUAUUAAAAAAUAACAAUUAUUUCUAACUUACCCAUAAGCCAAAGUGCUCACUCAUACCAUGGAAACAAAACUUGCUUCUGAAAAUAAUCUAAAGAAAUAAUCUGUAAACACCUAGAGCUUUGAAAUGGACUAAGAACAUCCUAUGCUCUAUGGAUCAAAUUGCAAAGGCCUUCAUUACAUAUAUCAAUAAACACACUUUGGUUAAUUUGGGAUAUAUUGAUAUUGCAUGACCAUGUGCCUACCUCUGUAUACCAUUAACCAAAUGUUGACGUUUAUAGUGACAACACAGUUUUGAGCCCCAAGUGCUGGAAAGAAAAUAAAAACAAUAUGAAAAGUA
Long non-coding RNA from Sapajus apella (tufted capuchin), 4389 nucleotides. RefSeq lists it as uncharacterized. Lineage: Eukaryota; Metazoa; Chordata; Mammalia; Primates; Cebidae. The record is from RefSeq and is a predicted model, not a curated record. The transcript has 4 exons.